ACGGGGGCAGCAGUGGGGAAUAUUGCACAAUGGGCGAAAGCCUGAUGCAGCGACGCCGCGUGAGCGAAGAAGUAUUUCGGUAUGUAAAGCUCUAUCAGCAGGGAAGAUAAUGACGGUACCUGACUAAGAAGCACCGGCUAAAUACGUGCCAGCAGCCGCGGUAAUACGUAUGGUGCAAGCGUUAUCCGGAUUUACUGGGUGUAAAGGGAGCGUAGGCGGUUUUACAAGUCUGAUGUGAAAGCCCGGGGCUCAACUCCGGUAUUGCAUUGGAAACUGUAGAACUAGAGUGUCGGAGGGGUAAGUGGAAUUCCUAGUGUAGCGGUGAAAUGCGUAGAUAUUAGGAGGAACACCAGUGGCGAAGGCGGCUUACUGGACGAUUACUGACGCUGAGGCUCGAAAGCGUGGGGAGCAAACAGGAUUAGAUACCCUGGUA
RNAcentral lists this ribosomal RNA (433 nucleotides) under uncultured Pseudobutyrivibrio sp. Its description in RNAcentral is "partial 16S ribosomal RNA". It matches the Rfam family "Bacterial small subunit ribosomal RNA", at positions 341 to 792 of the family's 1533-position model. The record is from RNAcentral. Lineage: Bacteria; Bacillati; Bacillota; Clostridia; Lachnospirales; Lachnospiraceae.